CUACGGGUCGCUGCAGUGAGGAAUAUUGCACAAUGGGGGGAACCCUGAUGCAGCAACGCCACGUGGAGGAUGACGCAUUUCGGUGUGUAAACUCCUUUUAUAUGUCAAGAAAAUGACGGUAGCAUAUGAAUAAGCACCGGCUAACUCCGUGCCAGCAGCCGCGGUAAUAGGAGGGUGCAAGCGUUACUCGGAAUCACUGGGCGUAAAGGACGCGUAGGCGGGUUGGAAAGUCAGGUGUGAAAUCCUACAGCUUAACUGUAGAACUGCACUUGAAACUUCUAAUCUAGAGUAUGGGAGGGGGAGAUGGAAUUAGUGGUGUAGGGGUAAAAUCCGUAGAUAUCACUAGGAAUACCUAAAGCGAAGGCGAUCUCCUGGAACAUUACUGACGCUAAGGCGUGAAAGCGUGGGGAGCAAACAGGAUUAGAUACCCUCGUAGUC
This 438-nucleotide ribosomal RNA is filed under the name uncultured bacterium. RNAcentral's name for it is "partial 16S ribosomal RNA". It matches the Rfam family "Bacterial small subunit ribosomal RNA", at positions 339 to 795 of the family's 1533-position model. The record is from RNAcentral.